This 468-nucleotide ribosomal RNA is filed under the name uncultured bacterium. RNAcentral describes it as "partial 16S ribosomal RNA". It matches the Rfam family "Bacterial small subunit ribosomal RNA", at positions 28 to 507 of the family's 1533-position model. The record is from RNAcentral.
GAUGAACGCUGGCGGCGUGCUUAACACAUGCAAGUCGAACGGAAAGGCCCAAGCUUGCUUGGGUACUCGAGUGGCGAACGGGUGAGUAACACGUGGGUGAUCUGCUCUUCACUUCGGGAUAAGCCUGGGAAACUGGGUCUAAUACCGGAUAGGACGAUGGUUUGGAUGCCAUUGUGGAAAGUUUUUUCGGUGUGGGAUGAGCUCGCGGCCUAUCAGCUUGUUGGUGGGGUAAUGGCCUACCAAGGCGUCGACGGGUAGCCGGCCUGAGAGGGUGUACGGCCAAAUUGGGAAUGAGAUACGGCCCAGACUCCUACGGGAGGCAGCAGUGGGGAAUAUUGCACAAUGGGCGCAAGCCUGAGGCAGCGACGCCGCGUGGGGGAUGACGGCCUUCGGGUUGUAAACUCCUGUCGCUAGGGACGAAGCGUUUUUGUGACGGUACCUGGAGAAGAAGCACCGGCUAACUACGUG